Molecule: ribosomal RNA, 334 nt
Filed under: uncultured bacterium
Lineage: Bacteria
Description: bacterial SSU rRNA
Rfam family: Bacterial small subunit ribosomal RNA
Source: RNAcentral
AUUGAACGCUGGCGGCAUGCCUUACACAUGCAAGUCGAACGGCAGCACGGGAGCAAUCCUGGUGGCGAGUGGCGAACGGGUGAGUAAUAUAUCGGAACGUGCCCAGUCGUGGGGAUAACGUAGCGAAAGCUACGCUAAUACCGCAUACGAUCUACGGAUGAAAGCGGGGGAUCGCAAGACCUCGCGCGAUUGGAGCGGCCGAUAUCAGAUUAGGUAGUUGGUGAGGUAAAGGCUCACCAAGCCGACGAUCUGUAGCUGGUCUGAGAGGACGACCAGCCACACUGGGACUGAGACACGGCCCAGACUCCUACGGGAGCAGCAGUGGGGAAUUUUU